Non-coding RNA from Hordeum vulgare subsp. vulgare (domesticated barley), 125 nucleotides. Lineage: Eukaryota; Viridiplantae; Streptophyta; Magnoliopsida; Poales; Poaceae. The record is from Rfam.
AUUGUACUCCCUCCGUCCGGAAUUACUCGUCACCAAGAUGGAAAGAAAUGAAUGUAUCUAGAAUUAAAAUAUGUCUAGGUGCAUCCAUUUUUAUGCCAAGUAAUUCCGGAUGGAGGGAGUAUAUG